Molecule: long non-coding RNA, 305 nt
Filed under: Pelobates cultripes (western spadefoot toad)
Lineage: Eukaryota; Metazoa; Chordata; Amphibia; Anura; Pelobatidae
Source: RNAcentral
CUAAGAGCAGAUGCCCUGCCAAGAGAAUGGAAUAUAAAAAGACCAGCAAAACCUGUCAGAAACCUGACAUCACGGGACACUUGUACUAAAGCACGAUUUGCAGCCUUUCUUAAACUCUACAAAUUAUGUACAUACCUGCAAAGCAAGGAACUCCUGUAAACAUAAACACAGAGACAUUGAUACAACAAAGAAUAUGUAAUGGUUCAGUUGCAGAUGUGAUCUACCAAUGUACUCCUUGCUCUUUUGGUAUAACUAUACCAAUCAAAACGUUAAAUGGCUCCAUAGAAUCAAACGACAAAGGAUUC